RNAcentral lists this ribosomal RNA (261 nucleotides) under uncultured archaeon. RNAcentral's name for it is "partial 16S ribosomal RNA". It matches the Rfam family "Archaeal small subunit ribosomal RNA", at positions 748 to 1009 of the family's 1478-position model. The record is from RNAcentral.
UAGCCGUAAACGAUACUCGCUAGGUGUCGGCCACGGUGCGACCGUUGUCGGUACCGUAGGGAAGCCGUGAAGCGAGCCACCUGGGAAGUACGGCCGCAAGGCUGAAACUUAAAGGAAUUGGCGGGGGAGCACCACAACGGGUGGAGCUUGCGGUUUAAUUGGAUUCAACGCCGGAAAUCUUACCGGGACCGACAGCAACAUGAAGGCCAGGCUGAAGACUUUGCCGGAUUAGCUGAGAGGAGGUGCAUGGCGUAGUCGUGU